This 328-nucleotide ribosomal RNA is filed under the name Orthoporus texicolens. RNAcentral's name for it is "eukaryotic LSU rRNA". It matches the Rfam family "Eukaryotic large subunit ribosomal RNA", at positions 657 to 954 of the family's 3401-position model. The record is from RNAcentral. Lineage: Eukaryota; Metazoa; Arthropoda; Diplopoda; Spirostreptida; Spirostreptidae.
AAACACGGACCAAGGAGUCUAACAUGCCUGCGAGUCUUCGGGGCCUCACGAACCCCAUGAAGGCGAAAUGAAAGUGAAGGUGGCUCUGCUGCCGAGGCAGGAUCCCGGAGGUUUGAUCUCCGGGCGCACUGCCGGCCCGUCCUCAGGUCGCUCGCCGACCGGGCGGAGCUAGAGCAGGUCUGUUGGUACCCGAAAGAUGGUGAACUAUGCCUGGGCAGGACGAGGCCAGAGGAAACUCUGGUGGAAGUCCGUAGCGAUUCUGACGUGCAAAUCGAUCGUCGGACCUGGGUAUAGGGGCGAAAGACUAAUCGAACCAUCUAGUAGCUGG